RNAcentral lists this ribosomal RNA (276 nucleotides) under uncultured bacterium. Its description in RNAcentral is "partial 16S ribosomal RNA". It matches the Rfam family "Bacterial small subunit ribosomal RNA", at positions 77 to 353 of the family's 1533-position model. The record is from RNAcentral.
CAAACUGGAGAUGGCGACCGGCGCACGGGUGAGUAACACGUAUCCAACCUGCCGAUAACUCUGGAAUAGCCUUUCGAAAGAAAGAUUAAUACCGGAUAGUAUACGAAUAUCGCAUGAUAUUUUUAUUAAAGAAUUUCGGUUAUCGAUGGGGAUGCGUUCCAUUAGUUUGUUGGCGGGGUAACGGCCCACCAAGACUACGAUGGAUAGGGGUUCUGAGAGGAAGGUCCCCCACAUUGGAACUGAGACACGGUCCAAACUCCUACGGGAGGCAGCAUG